CCAAUAGCGUAUAUUAAAGUUGUUGCAGUUAAAAAGCUCGUAGUUGAAUUUCGAGACCGGCUUAUUGGUCGUGCUUUUGUACGUACUGGUAUAAUCGGUUUCUCCUUUCUGACGAACUAUAAUGCCAUUAAUUUGGUGUUAUAGGGAAUCAGGACUGUUACUUUGAAAAAAUUAGAGUGUUUAAAGCAGGCUCACGCUUGAAUACAUUAGCAUGGAAUAACGGAAUAGGACGUUUGAUUCUAUUUUGUUGGUUUCUAGGAUCGACGUAAUGAUUAAUAGGGAUAGUUGGGGGCAUUAGUGUUCAAUUGUCAGAGGUGAAAUUCUUGGAUUUAUUGAAGACUAACUACUGCGAAAGCAUUUGCCAAGGAUGUUUUCAUUAAUCAAGAACGAAAGUUAGGGGAUCGAAGACGAUCAGAUACCGUCGUAGUCUUAACCAUAAACUAUGCCGACUAGGGAUCGGAUGAUGUUAAUUUUUUAAUGACUCAUUCGGCGCCUUACG
RNAcentral lists this ribosomal RNA (499 nucleotides) under uncultured Glomeromycotina. RNAcentral's name for it is "partial small subunit ribosomal RNA". It matches the Rfam family "Eukaryotic small subunit ribosomal RNA", at positions 591 to 1092 of the family's 1831-position model. The record is from RNAcentral. Lineage: Eukaryota; Fungi; Glomeromycota.